GUGCUCACUACAGCAGCACCUAUACUAAAACUAGAACAAUACAAAGAUUAGCAUAACCUCUGUACAAGGAUGACAUGCAAAUUCAUGAAGUGUUUCAUAUUUUU
Small nuclear RNA from Sciurus carolinensis (gray squirrel), 104 nucleotides. The record is from RefSeq and is a predicted model, not a curated record. NCBI's taxonomy places the organism in Eukaryota, Metazoa, Chordata, Mammalia, Rodentia, Sciuridae.